Molecule: long non-coding RNA, 302 nt
Filed under: Sorghum bicolor (sorghum)
Lineage: Eukaryota; Viridiplantae; Streptophyta; Magnoliopsida; Poales; Poaceae
Description: long non-coding RNA (SBIC_LNC009345)
Source: RNAcentral
GGGCCAAUGAGCUGCUUCUUGGCCUAGUUCCAGAUUUUUUUUUUUUGAAUCUGAUGAGUUAAUGGACCACGCUGAAAUCAGCAUGUCUCGAGAAAUUUAAUGGUCCCAGCAAGAAAUUUUUUUAUUAGGCCCUAGCCUGUUUACUAGGACCGAUUUUUGCUAAGACAUAAGGAUUAAUAUGUUUUCACUAUAUGUCAUCCAUGCUGUUAUGAGUUAGCAUGCUUGGCACCCGACAAUCUCAUGGCCGGGAACUACCAAUGCCAAGGCCAGCAGCAAGGCAAAGUCCCAUCCCUCACCAUAGC